UGGGGAAUUUUGGACAAUGGGCGAAAGCCUGAUCCAGCAAUGCCGCGUGUGUGAAGAAGGCCUUCGGGUUGUAAAGCACUUUUGUCCGGAAAGAAAUCCUUGGCUCUAAUACAGUCGGGGGAUGACGGUACCGGAAGAAUAAGCACCGGCUAACUACGUGCCAGCAGCCGCGGUAAUACGUAGGGUGCAAGCGUUAAUCGGAAUUACUGGGCGUAAAGCGUGCGCAGGCGGUUUGCUAAGACCGAUGUGAAAUCCCCGGGUCUCAACCUGGGAACUGCAUUGGUGACUGGCAGGCUAGAGUAUGGCAGAGGGGGGUAGAAUUCCACGUGUAGCAGUGAAAUGCGUAGAGAUGUGGAGGAAUACCGAUGGCGAAGGCAGCCCCCUGGGCCAAUACUGACGCUCAUGCACGAAAGCGUGGGGAGCAAACAGGAUUAGAUACCCUGGUAGUCCACGCCCUAAACGAUGUCAACUAGUUGUUGGGGAUUCAUUCCUUAGUAACGUAGCUAACGCGUGAAGUUGACCGCCUGGGGAGUACGGUCGCAAGAUUAAAACUCAAAGGAAUUG
This 564-nucleotide ribosomal RNA is filed under the name uncultured bacterium. RNAcentral's name for it is "partial 16S ribosomal RNA". It matches the Rfam family "Bacterial small subunit ribosomal RNA", at positions 355 to 912 of the family's 1533-position model. The record is from RNAcentral.